Molecule: long non-coding RNA, 375 nt
Organism: Oncorhynchus keta (chum salmon)
Lineage: Eukaryota; Metazoa; Chordata; Actinopteri; Salmoniformes; Salmonidae
Exons: 3
Source: RefSeq, a predicted model, not a curated record
GUAACAGCUAUAAUAAAUAGGUAAUAUAUAUGUAACAGCUAUAAUAAAUAGGUAAUAUAUCUGUAACAGCUAUAAUAAAUAGGUAAUAUAUCUGUAACAGCUAUAAUAAAUAGGUAAUAUAUCUGUAGGAGCUAUAAUAAAUAGGUAAUAUAUCUGUAGGAGCUAUAAUAAAUAGGUAAUAUAUCUGUAACAGCUAUAAUAAAUAGGUAAUAUAUCUGUAACAGCUAUAAUAAAUAGGUAAUAUAUCUGUAACAGCUAUAAUAAAUAGGUAAUAUAUCUGUAACAGCUAUAAUAAAUAGGUAAUAUAUCUGUAACAGCUAUAAUAAAUAGGUAAUAUAUCUGUAACAGCUAUAAUAAAUAGGUAAUAUAUCUGUA